GAUGAACGCUGGCGGCGUACCUAAUACAUGCAAGCCGAGCGAACGGACGAGAAGCUUGCUUCUCUGAUGUUAGCGGCGGACGGGUGAGUAACACGUGGAUAACCUACCUAUAAGACUGGGAUAACUUCGGGAAACCGGAGCUAAUACCGGAUAAUAUUUUGAACCGCAUGGUUCAAAAGUGAAAGACGGUCUUGCUGUCACUUAUAGAUGGAUCCGCGCUGCAUUAGCUAGUUGGUAAGGUAACGGCUUACCAAGGCAACGAUGCAUAGCCGACCUGAGAGGGUGAUCGGCCACACUGGAACUGAGACACGGUCCAGACUCCUACGGGAGGCAGCAGUAGGGAAUCUUCCGCAAUGGGCGAAAGCCUGACGGAGCAACGCCGCGUGAGUGAUGAAGGUCUUCGGAUCGUAAAACUCUGUUAUUAGGGAAGAACAUAUGUGUAAGUAACUGUGCACAUCUUGACGGUACCUAAUCAGAAAGCCACGGCUAACUACGUG
RNAcentral lists this ribosomal RNA (497 nucleotides) under uncultured bacterium. Its description in RNAcentral is "partial 16S ribosomal RNA". It matches the Rfam family "Bacterial small subunit ribosomal RNA", at positions 28 to 507 of the family's 1533-position model. The record is from RNAcentral.